AUCCCUUAAAGUUCCCCUUGAAUUUCUCUUAAAGCUAGCAUCUCCUUCUCUAAAGAGACUUUUGCAAGUCCUUUGCAAAAAUGAGAAUGUCAGAAAAGAGGACACUGCAGUUUUGAAUGCAGUUUAUGAGACUGAAGCUGAGGAAGGGCGUUUUCAGAAGGAUCAAAGACAGAAGAAAGACAGUUUUUACUAGACAAAAAGUGACAAGAGAGCUCCUCUAAGAAAAGAAAAGCUGCUUGCUUCAGCUCAGAAAGGGAGCAAAGAGCCUGGGCUCACUUCCAAAUGUGAAACUGUGGGAUUCCUGCACUCCUACAUAUGAGACCCAGACUGAACUCAAAGGACUGACCAGUUUACCUCCCCAACCAGACUACUUUCUUCAUAGUGCACAAUUGAAAUUGGAGUACACUCGGGUUUCCUUACUUUGAAAAAGCUCAGAAGGAGCAUUUACAUCUCCUAGUGAAAGACUGCAGAAUGGAGUUGAAAUUAAGUUAUUAGAGUUCACGAUUUGUCUUGGCCCAGAGCCUAAUCCAGUUUAUAAUCCAAGAUCUAUGUUGGAGUCUCUGCAUCAGUUUUCCAUGGAAAUAAAUCAGAGGCAUUGCUUUGGGAGCAACCUACAUGGAACUACACGUCUUACUGCUGCAAUUCAUAAACAGAAUAUUGACAAAUUCCUCAGAUUAUAAUUAUAACGAUCUGAAAAAUCAAAUGGCAAGAGUUUGAGAUGGGACUAGUUCACAUGUUGGAGUUGAAGUCAAAGAAGUCUGGACAAAUGGUGCUGAGUCAUGUAUAUAAUAAUUUCUUCAACAACUGCUUCCCAUAUUUGCAUGUUCAACUUUGCUAGGGAAACUUUUCUCAGUAUAUUUCAUGGACUCAGAUGUCAGAUCAAGGGAGAAACAUUCACUACAACCAGAGGUUACAGAGCUUAACAGACCUACAAAUUAACUUCAAGCUGUCGUUUGGUCUUAGAUAUGGUGAGCUUAAGCUUAUGGUCUUUUUUAAUUUAGAAAGACUAACAGGGAAAAAUGACAUGCAGAGUGACAGUCUUACAGAACUCUAGGAAUGGAUAUUUUAUAUGUUGAAACUAUGUCUGUACCAUUUUGAAUAAAGGCAAUUAUAUUCAUAUCUGGCUGAAAAUUAACCUGUAAUCUGCUAGGAUGUGAUGUGUAUAUUGAACAACUGCUAGGGGCAAAGAUCUGAAGUUUUUGUUGUUUGCAGAGAUCAUAUCUAGCUCUUCUGUGCCUCUAAUUCUAAACUUCUUGCACCUUGAGUACUGCAUUCAGUUUUGGGCCCCUAACUACAAGAAAGACAUUGAGGCCUAAGGAAUCUGGAGCACAAAUCUUAUGGAGAGCAGCUGAGGGAACUGGGGUUGUAUAGUCUGGAGAAGAGGAGGUUCAGGAGAGACCUUAUCGCUCUCUACAUCUACCUGAAGGGAGGUCGUGACAAGGUGAGUAUUGGCCUCUUCUGCUGCAUAACUACUGAUAGGCUGAGAGGGAAUGGCCUCAAGUUGCACCAGGGGAGAUACAGGUUGGAUAAUAGGAAAAAUUUAUUCUCUGAAAGUGUGGUCAGGUACUAGAAUGGGCUGCCCAGGGAGGUGAUUGAGACACCGUCUCCAGAGAUGUUCAAGAAAUGUUUAGAUGCUGGGGCAUGGUUUAGUGGGGAAAUAUUGGUGGUAGGUGGAUGGUUGGACUUGAUGAUCUUGGAGGUCUUUUCCAACUUUGGUGAUUCUAUGAUUCUGUGAUUCUAAAAGAACAGUUGCUGCAGUUUUCCCAAAUCUUUAAAAACUUGAGGUGGACUAUGAAGAAUGUAAAAUUGACUUUGAAUAGAUUUCAAUGGAGAAUGCAGUGAUAUGUUUGCCAAAUACUAAAUGUGAAAGUGUUAUGUUGAAAUCUCACAUGGAAAUACAUAUAACAAUGUGAAAACUGUGAAGGAAUCAUUAGUAUAUUUAGCAUUUAAUAUAUUUUUUCAGGCUCUCUGUCAAUAUUUUGGAUGUUAUUUAGAGUUCUUUUAAUAUUAUUAUUUUUUUAAUGAAGAAAUUACACCUCGGAGUGAGAAGUGUAUUUAGUACAUGAUUUUGGGGUUUCACUUGCUGCACAAAGCUUAAUUAAUGGUUCAGAAAAAACAGACUUUCUCUGCUCCGGCAAAGAAUUAACCUGAGUUUUGAGAAAAGAGUUUAAUAGAGCGGUACAAAAUACUACUUCAGUAUUCCUUCCCAACCAGUUAUUUGUGCAGAUGUGAAUUAACGAACUGUUAUAAAAGUGGUGUGAUUUCUGUCUUCUCAUUUAAAGAGCGAUGAUGGCCAACAUUUCUUAUAGUGCUUUACCAUUAAGAAAUAUUAGUGUACUAAUUAAAAAUCAUUGCAUAACUUUUAAGAAUAAACUUCUUAAAAUUAUUAGGAAAGGUGGAACUUUAUUCCUUGUGAAAAAGAAGCAUGAUUGUUCUUCCUCAGACAUUAUCUGAAUCUGCUAGAACUGCUCACAUCAGAAAGACCAAUGGCUGGAAAUGUUGAUAUUACUAGAAGUACUGUCAUAGAUGUUUAGAGAAAUGUAAUUGUUUACUUAUAAGCAUUUGUUUAUACAUUCUGCUGUAGUUGAAGUUAUAUCACAAUAUUUCUGCAGAAACAAAUUUUGAUGUCUGAAACUAGAGUUCUGUUUCCUUUCUAUGGCAAGAUUCUAGGUAUUGAUACUAGUCUCACUGGGUGUCAUGAAAUCACGAAUCUUUCUUUCUGGACGUAUGCAUCAGGUAGGCAUUUAAUUGGCAUUUCUCUUUAAAAAAAAGUAGCUGCCUUAAUGUCUAAUGACUGAUUUGCCCUUCAUGAUACAUAAAUUGGUAGUAGCUUUUUUUUAUAUACAAAGAAAUACUCAUUCCCAUAGAGAAACCUUUUUCUCUUUCCUGAAUGAAAUGACACAGAUCUACAGUUUUCUGAGCCAAGCUUAUAAAAGGUUGUUACAAACGGAGCACAAUUGUGGGAGGUAGGGAUCUCAAAUUCUAAUUUAGGCAUUCUUUGAGGUAAAGAACUUGUGAUGCUCACUUUCAACUGUCCGAACACUCUUAUGUUUUUGAGAUAUAGGCUAACAUAGAGACUAGGAGGCAUAUAAGCUUAUAUGAUUCUCUGUACAGGGUUAGAUAUCAUUCAGUUUUGCUAUUGCUUUGUGUUUGUAAAUGUUUUAAAAUAUAAUGCCUUGUGUAAGAGCUAAAUCUUUUCAUAGCUUAAGUAGUUCUAGUAAAAUAGCAGAUUUUCCCUAAUCAUUUUAAUUACAAAAAGCAAUUGAUAAUCUCUCUCUUCUUUGGACAGAGAGAGCUUUUGAUUUACAUUUCUGUGCAUCUCAUUCUUUUUCUGAAAGCCUGUGUACACUACAAAAAAUUGAAAUAUUUUUCUUCAUAGGAGCAGCAUACAUAUAGGCACACAGAAACUUCAGUGUCAUUAUGGCUCUAUCCUUUUGAAAGCCUACUUUAAAAAAAAAUAAGGACCUAGUAUUUCUAAAGUCCUUAAGAAGGGAAAGAAGCUGCUGCAGACUUAGUUGAAGUGGUAUGACAGUAUUCCAUUACACAUUUGCCAUUUGAUUCUCCUGAGUAAAGCUUCACUAUAAUUGAACUCUACAUGUUUUGCACUUUGUGAACUCAACUGGUACCUCAUGCUUUUCUGAAGGAUGUAAAUGUAUUUAAACACUCACAGGUUAUGCAGUUUGUGAAAAUGGUACCGAACAGCUAUCUAUGGAUGUACUCUAGAAUAUUUGUGUUUCAGAUCAUCUCAUACUUUGCUGCUUCAUAGCAAAUAUGUAGGAGGGGCAUGAAGGGAUGAUAAAUACAUAGCAGAGAAGCUCAGCGAAAUCUUUCCAUUGGCAUUUAGCACUGAGACUCCAACACCUGAUGCACUUCUGUAGUAGAUAGACUAGAAUAUGUAGGUCAGUUUGAAGUAACUACAUCAAAAGUAUUGCUUCAGUCAGGCAUAUUAGACAGACUAGACUUGACUCAGUGUCAAGUGGUGGACAAUAAGCCACCAAAAUUUUGGACAUGUUUAGAAAAGUUAGUGAGAUUAUUCUUAGAAACAAAGAACACCCGAAUGGAGAGUACAGAGUACAUAACUGGUGUACCCAUACCCUGAGUCUCAUGUGUAGUUUGGUCUAGAUAUCUAAGGAAGGGUGUAGCAGAGUUGAAAGAAGUGUGGAGAAAAACAAGUAAAAUAUUUGAAGUGAUAGAGCAGAUGCCUUCUGUAGACACACUAAAAAGCUGGGAGACUUAAUUUAGAAGCAGAGAAGGCUGUGGGAGAAUAUGACAGAAGGUAGAUAAGUCAUAAACUGAAUACACAGAAUUUGUUCACAAAAUACCACAAUAUUAGGCCCCUGGGAACUUGAAAUCAGUUGAGGUUUUAUUUAAAGCUGGUGAAAUGAAGUUCUUUACACAGUGAACUUCAGAAACUGGGGUCAUUGGAGAAGGUGGAAGCAGCCAGUACUGGAAGGUUUAUGAAGGGGUAAAGCUCUCACAAAUGAGCCCUUAACCCUUUUAAGGCUGGGCAGAGUUGUAUCAACUGACAAUAUUCAUAAAACCAUUCUGUACACUGAGGAUGCGUAUAAGGGGAUUGAACUGCAGAAAGUGGCCAAGUUAUGUGCUCUCUUUGAAUGUCAACUAUUGAAUAUUGCACGAGUACACUCUUUCCUCUGAAGGAAAUUUACUAAGUAUCCUCAUUUUUGUCCAGCCAAAGAGUUUUGCAUGUGGUUUCUUUCAGAGUAUGUCCAAACUGCUCUUUAAACAAGACUGAAAUUUUUGUGUCUUUAUGAAUGAGGAUUGAAUAUUCCUUUGCAAUACCCAGGCUACCUCAUCCAGUGUGGAAGUAUUGAAUGAUUCCUAUGCAGAAAACAAAACAGCAUACAGGUUCUGCUAAGUCUGAUCAAGAAACAAUGAGGUGAUAUGUCCUGAAAAAUUCAGUCAUUGCUAAGAAUUCAGUACAAUUCGUUCAAAAUAGUGGAAUUAGUGAUAUCUUGACUGAAUGGAGAAAGAAACUUGUACGGUUUUGUUUCUGCAGACAGUAAGAUAAGUAACAGUUAUGGACUAACAUCACUGGUAGCAAUGUACAGCAAAUUAAUGAGAAAGCAAAGUGUCAACAGACUUCUGGGCAUACAAUAAUAACAAACAUAGUAGAAGAGGAAUCCAAUAUCACAUCUUAUGCCAUUUACUUAUUUGCCAACUUACGUUUCCACAGGCCACUGAAAGCAAUAGCCGCUUGGUUAUGGCAGAAGGUUACAUAUUAUAAAAUAUUUUAGUGCUUCUUUCCAGAGUCAGAAGUACAUAUAUAAAUGAAUUAGAGAAUUAAUAGAAGGGUGCAGGAAACCUUAAAAUCCUUGCUUCUAAGAGAUUAUAGUGAAAAAUAAUAAACAGAUAUCAAAGAGAAAAGGUGUGUUUGAACUACUUCCACCUGUUAAGUAUAAUAAUCUCUCUUUCAUUUUGAACAGUUUUGAAGCAUCAAACACCUUGUGAAUUUCUUACAUAUCUGGGCUUUGGAAGCCUGAUGUUGUACAGGGUAAAUAUUUAAAUCUUUAAGGUGGGUACUGAUGUGAGUGGAGAAUACAAACAUAACAACUAUGCAUUGCAAUAAAUGAUAAAGUGAGAUUGUUGAGUUUUAGCAGUGCAAGAAUUACAUGACAUUAGCAGUAUCCAAUAGGUCUUGGAUGGAGAAAUCUUAGUAAAGGCUUUCUGUUCAGACAUGGUUUUAUAAGUAACAUACGUUAUUCAGGUGUGGAUAUAUGAUGAGAUUUUUUAGACUGUUGCAUUAUUCCAAUAUUAACUUUAGCAUAUACCUUUGAUAGUGAUAACUCCCAAUUUAUGCAGUGACUAUGGUUAUGGUCAACUGAGUAACCCAUGAAAAGAAUUCCACAUGAUGAUUUAAAAAUAGUCAAAUAUUCUAAUUUUUUUCACAUAAUUAUGUGAAAAAAUAUAUAAAUACAAUUUUAUAUUACUUAAGAAAAUAGUUUUUAUUCAGGAAACUUACAUAAGACACUGAAUGAAUUGAACAUAUAUAUUUUAAUGACAAGCAAACAGCAAUAAAAUUAGGAACACGUUAAAGUUUGUCCUGCAUAUCCCUAAAAGAAUACUGAAAAAUAAUUCAAGAGAAUUGUUUUCUAAAACCUAUUGUGUAUUUGUUUAGAUUUUAUAGAAAAUAAUGAUCACAUGAAGCACACCGCAUCAAUUAGGUUUAUAGAAACAAAACACUGUGUUAAUAGUAAUAUGCAAGUAAAUUAACUGUUAUCUCACACUCUUAAAUGUAUUAGUAGUAAUAUUAAACUUCAGUGUAACUGAAAGUACUGCUAAAUUUAAAGCAAAUAUCUGAUUUUUAAAUUGACAUUAAUUGAAGCCCCAAUCUCUCUCUCCCUACCUCUGUAAUCGAUUAGGUUUGAAUACUUACACAGCAAAUCUCUGAAGUCAUUUCAGACCCAGCGUUUGUGUGCAGAAAACAUUACAUAAGUCAUUUCAAAUACUAAAAAAAAAUAGAGAAAAUUUAAUUGUGGAUUAGAAAAAAUCGUUGAAUAAAUUAUAUUUAUUAUAUUUUCUGAAUGAUUUCCUCUUUAAUAAGCAGACACGCCAGUAGAAAACAGCCAUUGGAAUAUCUAUUAUCUCUUCAUCCUUUUAUCCUCUUGCAAUUCUCUUGGGGAAGCAUACAUGUAUAUGCUGCAUGAAAUGUUAUUAACUGACAUUAAGUCUCUCAUCCCCUUAGGCCGUGGAUUUUUUCCUGCUACUUUACUGACCAUUAAGCAGCUCUUGUGGAUGUGAUCUGGAAAUUAUUGUAUUUAUACCUUAUAGAGCACAUGUAUUAAACCGCUCAUUAGGUUUUGAUAUUACAUGACUUCAUAAGCCUCAUAUGAGCUACAGCAGCAAUUAUGUUUUAGUAUAAUGAUGUGAAAAGGACAAACUAUUGGUUCUUUAAAUGUGUGCCGAAGUCUUUUAAAAUAUUAUCUGUCAUCUCUAAGGUGUCUGUUUUUAACUCUUCUUCAUGUCAUAACUAAGUAUGAUUAAGGACAAAGUAAGACUGCCUGCUUUGAGUGCUGUCAGAAGCCACAGGGAACCUUUUUGCUCCGGCUGACUUGCACUGGUGGAAGGCAAUACUUUGUGGCUUGUGCUUUGAGAGGGAAAAUUAAGAUGGUGCUACAUGUCCAGACAUGCCUCUGAAGAAUGUUGGAAAGUUGACUAUCUAAGUUUGUGCAGCAAAGGAUUUGCUGAUAGAUAGCAUGAGAGGUAGCAUGGUGAGAAGGAAAUUAUACCUAUUGCACAGAUACCUCAGCUGCAUUCUCCACCAAUUAUUUUGAAAAUAUUUUGCUGUUUGUACCCUUCUUCUUUAUAACAGCACCAGCAGAGCACCAACUAGAAUGCAUCUAUCUCCUUCUUACUUUCCAGUUUUUCUCAGGUGUCUUAGAUCAGAAGAUUUCAACCAAUUUUAAUAUUCAUUCUAUUUAAAACAUUGUCUUUUUUUCCCCCAAAUCUUAAAGGCUCAAAACAGUUCCCCAUGGGAAAACUAAAGACUGUACCAACACAAGAAUCUCAUUAUCUUUUGCACCUGCACUUUCUGUCUAUUUUUAUAUUUUAUGAUGCUGCAGUUCUUUCUACAGUCAUACUGACUGCAUUAAAUUAUGUAAAGGCAGAGUCUUGUGACACCUCUGAACCAACAGGCAGGAGAAUACAAAAUCUUUCUUUUGCUCUCACCCUGACUCAAAAUUAAAUUCCAAAAAUUAUAUGCAAAUAAUAUCACCACUCUCAGUUUAAUGAAUGGAAUCAAAGAACGGCAAGGGCAAAGACGUAAGUUUUAUCCUCUGCUAGUACUGAAGAAUUAGCACUAGAAUUAGUAUGAAUUUGCAUUACUAAAUGAUCAUUGAAUGACAUGAUAACUGGGUGCAAUUCAAGUUUGUUAAUAUUUCUAAACGAUAGCAUCGUUUUUUUUGCUUAAGGCUCAGGGCUGAACAAGGAGCACUGACUUCCCUGCCACAGACUUGCAAGGUGACCUUGACAAAUCACAGAACAUAUCUGUACCUCAGUGUGAGACGGGAGAAAUUAAAACAUUUCCUAGCUCACAGAGGCAUUGGUAAAGCUCAGUUAAUCAAAGUCUUUCAAGAUCUUUAGACAGAAUAAUCUAGAUAAGAGCAAAGUAUUAUUAUUCUUACUAAAGAGGACCUCUCCUGAGCACUUAAUUUUUCAUUUUAUACAAACUUUUUUGCUUAUUUACACUGUCAGCAUACAGAGUGAUAGAUCCUUCUGACCUGAUUUGUGUGAAGCUUGUCAAGAUACAGAUGUUUUUAGCACUAUAUCCCUGUUAGGAUAUGACACAAUACAUCAUAACAGCUCCAUCAGAGCCAUUAGGGUGUAAGUUGUCAAUGCAUAAUAAGAUUACUAUGCGUUAUAGCAGGUGGUGCUCAAAUAACACUGAAGCAUGAACACUGUGGUAGCAUCUAGAAUCCCUUUGAAUACUGGUGUUGCAAUACCUUUCUAAUGUAUCUAGCAUUAUCUUUUUGUAGUAAAAUAUUUCUUGUUGUGCAUGAAGAACUAUUUUUUUGGUAAAAUAAGUAACUGUUACAUUUUUGUUGUUUCAGAAAACGUAGAGGUCUACAAAUGUUUCUGUUUGCAAAAGAAGUUGUUUUUGUUUAAAUGAAGGGCAAAGCCUGCCAACAACUCUGUAAAUAUUAGCCAAAUAUGUUCAAAGUUUUACUGUUAGAAAACCAGCCUGUAAGAAGUUUGGAUUCAAAAUGGCUAUUGAAACAGUACUGUCAAAAGGUUCUAUUUAUAGAUUUUAUAUACAUACAUAUAUAAAUAAAUGGAAAAUGUUGUUUUAUGCACAAUAUUAAUGAGUAUAAUUGAGCCUGGAAAAAUGAGACAUUCAAAUAAUUUUAAGUUGGUGUCUGAAAAACUCUGCUGGUUUUCUAUCUAGGAAAGACAUCAAGGAAAAGAAUCAGCAGAACUUGCAGAGAAAGACUCAAUACUGCUAGGUUUGUACCUCCCUGUCAGUAUAACCUAUGAGCAUUACCCAUUCACUGGUGAAUUUAUGCUUCUCAUGCAUUUGUGAAGGAUCUCUUCUUAAGGAGAACUGAAAAACUGGCUUAUUGAGGAUCACGAUAAAGUCUGUAGCAGAACAUAGAGGAAAAGUGAACUUUGCUGAUAUUUUCAUAUCAUCACUAUUAAUCUGUAAUUCAAUGUGUGAAGCUUUUUCACAUUAUUGCAUUAUUCCUGAAAUGCACUCCAAGCAGGCAAACUGGCAAGCUACAGUGACAUACAUACACAUAUGUAGAUUUUGCAUGAGGUCUUAUAUGUGCAUUCACAUCUGCCUGUAUGGAAGCAGGUUGAGGUAGGUCUUUUAUAAAGUGAGAGAUGAAGGAAAAGUGCAGAAUUCAAAUGCUUACAAUGUUUUCAAGCCUUUGCAGAGAAGAAUGAGGUGAAUGGCUUCAAAGAAAAUUUUUCAUAUUUAGGCAUUACUGCAUCUUCAGUAGGUAUGAGUCCUCCUAAACAUGGAAGUUAUAGCCUCUCCCAGUAAGAUGUAUAGUGACUGUGUGAGAUGUAUGAUUUUCUUUCUGUGCAGUAGAGGCAACAGGCAGGGACUGACCUAUGAUCAGAAAAGUCCAAUAAAUUUUCCAGGAAUAUAUAUUCCAAAUGAUAAAAAAUUGAGUAAGAAAAGGAAACAGUCCAGUCAUUUUUCAUAAAUGUGUUGUUCAAAGACUUCCUCAUAAAAAAUCAAAUAUCUUUCUGGUACAGCAAAGAAAGGUAAAUAAGAUAUGCAUUCUGACACUUACACAGAAUAACAAGCAGGAAACAUGCUGUGGUCCUUGAAGAAGACAUAGAGUACAAAUAAAUAAAAGAAAAUACAGAAAAGGAAAGAAAAAAUUAAAGAAAAAAGAAGAAUGGGGAGGAACGUCAAUGAUAUGACCCGUGGCAUGAAUACAGUCUCUUUCUGUUAUUACAGCAAACAGAAAGAAGUUAGAAAUAGAAAUGCUUUCAAAUAAAGGCUAACAUGGGGGAAACAAUAAACUGAAGGGAAGACUUGCUCAUCUAAAAGACUAUCUAACAAAAUAACUUGGAAAUAACCUUCAUUGUUUUUUACUCAGGUUAGAGUAGAGUAGUUCACAUGGAGGAGAGAAGUCAAAGAUGAAUUGAAUUUGCUCAGGAACAAAAUUUCCACUCAUAAAAAUGGGAGCUUGUACUGGAAAGAAAAAAAAUAUAUGAAAUGCUGGGAAUGAUCUAGACCAAGUAGCAAAGAGUGAGAGUUCUGAAAACAAACCUAUCUUUGUUUCCUCCAUGUAAAGUUUGUUAAAAAAAAGAAAAAAAAAAAAAAAGAAAUGUUUAAGAUCUAGAAGUCUUCUGCAAAUGAUAUUAAAGGAGGCUAUUCUUAUAGAUCUAUAAAGCCAAAGGCUAAGUAAUGGUGGAAGAAAAGGAGAAAAGUUUAUUCUAACACCCUCCCAUGCUGAGCAAGAACACUGAAGACCAUAUCUUUUCAAAAGCAACAUUUGCUGAGACAGCAGGAUUUUUUUUUCCAGAAAUUAAAUUCUUCUUUGCCCCCAGUACAAAGCUGAAUAUUUUUUCUUGGAAGGCUAUUUCUGAGCCACAACCCCUAGACUGUUAGAAACCUUUUAAUUUCCAGCCUAAACUUACUCAUGAACAGUCUAUAUCUAUUUGUUUUUGUGCCAGCACUGUCCUUUUGUGUUAAUUGUACAUCUAUAUCAUGUAGCUAUUUGUAGGUUAUUUCGUAUUUCAAAAGAUAAUAUCAGUAUUUUUAAAAGAAAUCACCAGCUGAGAUUCUGAGGAUAAAAUUAGUUGUUGCAACAGCUGUUUGAUCAUAAAGUUAUUGUCUAAAAAGCUUAUGAACACAAUAAGAUGUGAUUUCACUUCACUUUAGGGGGAAAUAACAUGCUGUAUCUUUUUAUUACUUCUAUUUAUGACAUUCAGUAAUGAAAUAGAGUUAAAAUAAUUUUCAGGAAAACAGAACUUGAUUUAAGAAUAAAACAGACUAGAUGAAGUCUUUAUUCAUUCAUUAAAGGCAAGAGGCUAUUUUUCAACCUUUAUUCAAGAAACUUGAUGAAGUUUUCUUUUGGGUCUGGUUAAUUGUUUGGCUACAGUAUUUAUCAGUAUGACAACUGAUUGACAACUGCAUAACAACCAGCUACUUCAGAAGCAGAUUUGCACAAGUGGAUUUUUGAAGGAAGGAAAUUGAAAGUGUCAAGCUGAGAGAAUGAAGAGUGUCCAGGUCUAUGCAAACAUACUGUUGAGAUUAUACUGCUAGGUUGUAAGCCCUUCUGAGCAAUGAUAGUCCCUUUCCAGAUGCCUGUGAGCAUUACCUAUCUUUAAUGCAUUAGUAUAUAGAAAACAUACAUGUUUUCUCUCUUUCCUCUUCAAAGGAAAAAUGCAGAGUAAAUUUCAGUCUGUCAGAAUCUUUAGGAAACAUUACAGGGAUUUCCCUGCAGCACUUUCAUUUCUAUGCAGAACAAACUGAAGAGGUGCAAAGCAGUAUAUCAGAAAUUCUGUUUCUUGGUUGUAUGAAACUUCAGAUUUACCUUCCUAUUCUCAUUAUUAAUUACCUGCAAACCCUCCAAGAACACUUUCUGUGCCACAGCUGGACACUUUUUUCUCUACCCUCAUCUGCCAAAAGGUUGGUACUCUGUCAGAGAUGAGCUGGUGUCUCAUUUCUCUCUAUCCCUCUGUUUUUUCUCUUGCGCAUUCUGGCAGCGCAGGGCUCUUCUUUAUUAACCUUUUCCAACUGAAUAAGCCAGAACAACACAUGACUUCUGACCUGAAGCAAUACAGCCAAGUGAGUAGGCUGGCUAUCUAUUUGCACUGCCUUUCUACACGAGGUCCUUUUCCUCGGUAGACAUAAUGUACCAGAGAUGUAUUAGAGAUAAGGAUAAUGUGUCUGUCUGCCUGUUCUCCCUAUAGCUUUGGGAGACAAGCAGGAUGAAUAUGAGAGUGCAGUGGUAUGGGCCAAAUGCAAUGAGACUCCCACAAAUAUGGUGAGAUAAAAUGCUGUGAAGUCUCUUCAUUUAAUUGUAUAAUCCUCCACACUGAUCAAGGAAGAAAACUUAGGGUCAUUGCUCAGUGAAUUGCCUUACAAUGCACGACAAUUACAUUGGAAGCAAAACAAAGGUACCAGCUUAUAAAGAGAAAAAGAAAAAAGAAAAAAAAAAAAAAAAAGGAAAUCUCUAGUUCAGUUGGACAGAUUUGCAAGGAUCUUCGAAAAUGUGAAGGAAAUGGCUUUCUUCAAUCAGUUGUGUCUGUGUGGAGAGUGAAGGUGAAUAGUCUCAGCUCAGGAGGAAUGUAAUUUGGAAAGGCACUUUGGAGUUUCAAUGACUAUGUGAAGGACAGUACUUCCAGUAACAUUUAGAAACAUUCUGAGUGGAGAGAAGAUGAAAAGAAAAACCAAAACCAAAAACAAAACCACAACCAAGCAAAACACUUAGUUGUUUAAAAAUGCAUCCAUUUUCUCAUGUUUUGUUUUUUUUUUUUUCUUCUGGAAAUCAAUGCUGCAAGUUAUUGUUGUUAAUUGUAAUGAGAUCAUAAGUUUAGAAAACAUUCCCUCAUAAAAAAACAAAUGUCUUUUAAUAAAGUAUGAGAAUUGUGGAAUGACUAUUGGUAAUAAAAAUGAAAUCUGACAAAGAAUACAGAAUAGCCACAGUGGGGAUAACAGAUAUAUUUCUUUGGAACUGUUAGCUGCAUUAACAUCAUAUAAAACUGUGUUCUAAGAUAUCUGAGUUCUAUGUGAAGGAUCAUAUGUAAAUUUUAACUAAACUGGAGCCAUUAUAUUAUCAUAGGUACAAUGUGCUAGAUAGAAGGCUGUUUCACAUCCACUGAAUAGAUGUGUAUGUUCAUGCAUGUAUGCAUAGCUGUAUGUCUAUAAAUAUAUUCAUAUGUUUAGAGAAAACUUGAACUGGUGGAAAACUGAAAGGACAGGAGGAAAGCAUAGUUUGACUAAAAAGCUAGUUGUUCCAUCUUUCUGUUUCUUUAUUCACCAUAUUUACAUUUUAAUCAGAAGUUGGACUCAAUCCUUAGGCAUCCCUUCCAACACGGGAUAUUCUAUGAUUCUAUGAUUCUAUAUUUAUUUCCCUGCUCACUUCUUUUGUAUAAAACCUACUUUCUAAUUCAGUUGGGUAACUCAUCUUUAAUAUUAUUUUAACAGAUCUUGUCUUACUUUCAUGGAGUAGUCACAGCAAAGGUUGCAUUGUAAAAGAAAAUUGCCUCACUACUGCACUGGGUUUUCUAAUUAGUAUAUCUGGUACCACCAUUGGAUAUUUGGAGAAGAAGAAAAGAGAGAGGAAAGAGAGACCACUGUUAAUCACCCCUUACUAGUAGUUGAGGCCCUCAACUUGUUAUUUAAUUUUCAGUUUUACAUACCUCGAUUUCAGAAAACAAAUGAUAGAAAAAGAACCUCAGCUGCAUACCCCGGCUUGCAGGCAAACCUCUUCUAUAAAUAUGUGACCAUUUUAUGAAACUGUAUGGAAGAGAAAAUACGACUAUGAACUUAUGAACAUGUCGAGUGUUUCCCAAAAGAGUUUUAUGGUUUUAUGAUCUAUGAGUUGAAUCAACUCAAAGGAAACUUGAUUUUAUUAAGAACAGCAUCUCAGAACUCAUCUGUGGGUUUGGAUUUCCAACACACUCCUGUAAAUUUGUUGAAUUAUUUAUUUGCAGUGAUGAGACGAGAACAGGAUUCUUCAAGUGGGCUGUACAGUUUGCAUGUCUUACAAAAAAUCUGAUCCAGAAAGACAGAUCUCCAUCAUUCUUAUAUAAGUCUUUUAUAAAUUUGCCCACUGUUAUUGUAAAAUUAGUCUUUUUACAGGAGUGAAAUUUCAAAUUGCUGAAACACUUUCCUGUAGAAUCAUGAAGUGAGAAGAAAAAAUUGAGAAGUAUUUCUGCCUGUAUGAGGAAACACAUGAGCACUGAUACAGAAGGUAUCAAGCCAGCUUGCUGACCAUUGCUUCUAGGACAGCUGGAAGGUCAUGGGAAAUAUUCCACUUCACCAUUCCAAAAUCCUUGCCAUUCCAGUUUGCCUCUUUUCAUUAUUUUUAUUAUACAGAAGCCCAGCAUGUUGUUAGGUCUUUGACAAGGAUUUGAACAAAAUUUAAUAUAUAACUACAUUAUUGAAGGAGUCAUAGAAUUAUAGAAUCAUAGAAUGGUUUGUCUUGAAAGGGUUUCUUAAGAUCCCUAGUUCCAACCUCUCUGCUAUAAGCAGGGACAUCUCCUACUAGACCAGGUUCCUACAUGCCCUCAUAAAAAGUGGCCUGAUAGCUGCCUUUCAGUAUCUAAGGGGGACCUACAGGAGAGAAGGGGACAGACUCUUUGGCAGGGUCUGUGAUGAUAGAAAAAGGGGAAAUGAUUUCAAACUAAAAGAGAGGAUAUAAGGAAAAAGUCUUUUACAGUGAGGAUGGUGAGGCAUUGUAACAUAUUUCCCUGAGAAAUGGUGGAUUCCCUCUCCCUGGAGACACUGAAGAUCAGGUUGGAGGAGUUCUAAGCAACAUGAUCUACCUUUGGAUAUCCUUUUUCAUUGCAAGGAUGACCGUUAAGGGUUCCUUCCUACUCAAAUGAUAUAUGAACUUGAGCACACCCUUUCUUUCUUCCACGAUUACCCACGGAAUAUGAAAGUAAUAGAAUGUCUACUGCAUACUUGCUUUCCUUACCCCUGCCUCUCCCCAGGUUUUGCAGAUUGUAUCUGCAGUUGCAUUUUUCAUCACUUCCUCUUGAGAUUGUGGGAAAGUGAGGACAAAGUAUGACAUUAAAAACAAUUUGACUCUAAAAGGAAAAAAUAAACCAGACUAUUGCUAGGAAAACAUUAUUGAAAAUCCUAUGAAAAUAUAAAUACAAUUUAUUUUGGUAUCCUUAAUCCUCUUAAAAUGGAAGAAUUAAGCCCAAGAAGCUGUUUAACUGCAUGUAGAAAUCAUGGUGAAUUUAUCUUCAUUGGGUGACCUCAUCAAAUUAUUCUCCACUGCUGUGAUUUUUUUUGAAGACAGCUCAAUAACAUUUGACUCCCAGUUCCCAUUAGAAUUUAAUGAGAACUGGGCCUCUAAGUCCCCCAGAUUCCUUUGAAAAUAACCCAGCCUAUGAUAAAAUAAUACAGUUCUGUGCAUCCUUAAUUUCUGACAGCAUGUUCAUGUCUGGAAUAUUGAUUGCAACUGCUACUGCCAAGCACACAGAUCCCAUCACUCUUGCCUGCUUUUCCAUUAUGUCAUAAAUAGAUAGCACAGCUCAAUAGAUCAUACAGAUAGAUGGAGCUGGACUACUUACAUGGACUUGCAGGAAAAAACAACUAAUAAUAACCAAGUAUCUAACUUGAUUGGACAAAUUACUUGAAUGAUUUUUAAAAGCUCUGAAAUGAGUAACUUCGAAGAGUGAAUAACGGCGAAAACAAGGCCAGGUCCAACAGUAGUAAUUAGAUUCAAGUAAAAAAUAAAACUCAAUUGGAAAGUUUUAAAGUCUUUGUAUUAUGCAAGUAACCUGGCAAGUUUGUGGUACCAGAAAUGGGAGUUCAAUUAAAUAUUUGGAAAGCCAAAAAAAAAAAAAAAAAAAAAAAAAAACAACCCAAAAAACAAAAAACAAACAAACAAAACAAAACCCAAAACCCAAAACAAACAAAACAACAACAAAAAACCAGACAUGCAAGCAGAAUCAUUUAGUAUCCUGCUAAGCUGAAAACACAUUCAAACUAAAACGAGAACUCAGGUGGUUGAAUAAGCAAUAGGAAAAAAGGAACAGAGUUGUCAAAAUAAAAUAUAUUUCAGACUGACUUGAGUAAAAUUUUAAUCCUUGAUUUCAUUUUUCGUGUUUGUACAUUUGUUCCCAGCAGUAAAAUCACAACAUCAUUUCACAGAAAGGUAAGGAAAGGAAAGGAAAGGCAAAGAAAAAGUGCUGGUGAUUCAGCCUCCAGGCUCUCCAUAAAACCUACUAGGAAGCAGAAUGCAAAGUUGUUUUUGUAUGUCCUACUGUGACUUAUCAUGUUAUUAGAAGUCUAUUUCCUCAUCUUUCUGGGGAAAAAAAAGAAAAAAGGGACAACUCAGGAAGAUCACUGUUGGGCUUCAUUCUUCCAUGGAAUUAAAAAAAACGAAACAAAACAAAAAAAAUCCAAAGCAAACAACAAAAAAAGCAACCUGUACUCAGCAGCUAUGGUUUGCAACACUGCACCAAGAUUAGGUUAGAUAUUCAUUUUAAGAGCAGGCCAUUACUUUUGCAGUACUUCUGCAGGAGUAAGACUAAGGAAAUAGCCUAACAGAUCUCAUUCAUAUGCAGCAACUCACCAGUCUCAAUAGAUAGGAUUAACUUGGAUUCUUCACAGGGAAUCCAAUUUCAUAAUUAUUUUGUUUAGUUUUAUCAUUUUAUUUUAUUUUUACUUUAUUUAAUGAAUUUAAAUGAAAAUAUCUAGAAAUCUAUCAGGAACUGGGACUCCAUUUUGUCCCCUGUAUGUGGGGCCUACUAUAAAACUGCAAAACCAAAAUUGUGGUUCAUAUUCUUUUAACAUCUCCAAUCUAAAGAGGAAAGAUAAAACUGAGAUACAGAGGAUUUGGUGUCCAAGGAGCCAGUGGAAUGCCUAAGGGCAGUUUAAAGCAAACUUGAAUGUUUACACAGUCUCAAACCACCCUUCUUUUCUGAACACACCAGGGGAGACAAAAUUUGUCAUCCUAGCAGGCAGGAGUGUAAGUACAUCUCCUGCAUACCUGCUGCCAAAGGGUAUUUGUAUGUUUGAAAGUUACUGCGGCAAAAGAAUGUCAAGCAAUGACUUAAAGACUGAUGAAGUGCUUUCUGGACAUCACUGAUGAAGUUCUCCUUAAAGCAGGUGGCCUAGCAUCAAACAAAAUAUAAAUAUACCUGCUGGAAAAAUAGAAUGAUUAGUUAACACCAUAGGGCAAACAAAUGUUAAACUGACCUCAAGUCCAAAGGAGAGAUGAAAGACAGAUGGGGGCUGGUGAAUGCACUUGAUAAUGUUGUUGGGAGCCUUAAAUCUGGUGGACAGAGAAACAGGAACCUUUGGAUGGAUGGAUGCAUAGGGUGACAAGGAUGAAACUAUGGAAAUCUGAAAUACUACCUCCUGGUACAUUUGCAUUUCAGGAAUCUGAGCACUUAAAUAGAGAGAGGCAGUGGCGAUGAAAUGGAAGAUAAGUUUUACUCAUGAAUUAGUUGUAAUCAUCUGUAAUAUUGUGUUAGCUGGAGAGCAAACGUUUAGGAGCAUGAUCAGGAAGAUUAGUUGAUUUUCCACUUGUAUCAUAUAACGUAUGAAUACAACAAAUUCUGCAACAUAUUAAAUAUAUAUGGAAUUAUUUUAUUUUAUUUUAACUUAUAGCAAAGGUGAUUUACUUCUUUACACAAGAAAGAUUCCUAUGACUAUUUGUAGUCAUAGAACUUAGCAGUCUAAGUUCCAAAGUUGAAACUUUAAUUGGAACUAUAGGAAAUCUCCUCUGAUAGCUCUGAUAAUAGAUAGCUCCUCUGAUACAUCUAACCAGUAAUAAUUUCACAUCUAUAGAUUUUUGAUGUGGCCUUUUAAUGUACUUUUGGAUCCUCCUGCAUGAUGAUGAUUCUGGUCUUGCAAGCUGCUGUGUGUAGGCAGCCCCUGACACCAGAGACCACUGCUGUGGGAGUUAGAAAGUCUGUGCUCAGAUGGAAAGGUCAAACUGCACAGAAUAGCUUGCAGGUUCAGAAGCCUGCCUGAAAUACUCUCAGCUUAGAACAAACCUGAAUUACUUUGUGAGUAUGAAACAUUUAACACGAGAGCCUGCAAAAAGUGGUAAAGGUUUUGUAUAUAGCUGUCUAAGAUGAGCUAACCUAAGACUUAAUUAGCUAUAAUAUACAAAGAAACCCUUUUUAAUAAAUAAUUAAAUAAUUAAAAUCCUGGCCUGUGACAGUAGCAAAAUCAGUUUUGCAGUUGGAAGUCUACUUCUGUGCUUUCUUUAUUAUUAAAUACAUCAUUUUAAGAAGGCAAUUUUGAACUGAAUAGAUGUGAAUCUAAGAACACCAAAACCCACUUUGUGUCUUGAUAGAAACAUUUUUUUUGUGUGUUUUGAUCCUGGAAAUUUCACAUCUCUCUUUUAACUUUCUUAAGAAAUAACAUUACUUCUGUUUCUCCAGUCGUUUACUUGCUUAAACUCCAGAGCAUACUGGUGUGCUGCAUAAUUGGAACAAAGCUUAAUAUUGUAAAUAAAAACCUUUACCUCCAAAUCUGCAGAGGAACUGUAUUUAAAGAAAUGAAACAAAAUAGAAUUUAAAUGCUUAAAUACAAGAUAAUGUUUAGAAACUUUAGCUGCCCACAAUCAAACAUUCCCAGCUGAAGUUUGAUUACUUUGGCUUGCAUUUAUCUGAUACUAAAAAAAAUAAGGAUUGGUUGUCAUCGAGGUAUUGGAAAGUGACAAAUAUAAUAUAAUUUCUAAAAAGAAUGACCAUCAACCCAGUACUGCAUACAGUAUGGAUGAAAGAAAGCCCUUUUUACCUAGCUUCAAAUUCCCCACAGCCUUCUGGAUUUUACAUAUUUACCACAGGUACUCAUAGAACUGAGUUGUUUGAAAUGUGAAAAUGUCUGAAUGUGUUUUCAGGAGCAGCCUGAAUAAUGUGGACAACACAUCAACAGAGAGCAAAACUAAUACAGAUACACUGAAUAAAAAGGACAGAGAGGGAGAAAAAGAUGUAGAUGAAAAUGCAUAACAACAGGGCAUAAAAACAGUGUCAAUAUCCUUAUCUAUUUAAUUAAUGUUGGAAAUAAGUUUAGUUACAAAUUAUGCAAUAAUAAUUAAUUAACAAUCUAACUCUAGAUUCUCAUGUCAUUAUUCAUCUUUAAAAAUAUUUGAUACAGUGGUUAUUGAUGAGUUUUGUAUUUUUCUAGUAGCUUUGCUAACCCCUGAUUAUUACUGCUCAUAUAUUGACCUUUUUGCCAUAUGUUUUGAUCAACUUUGAAUUAUUAGUAUUUAAAUUUUCUAACAGAUUAUUGAAGUCUCAAAAUACAAUGGUUUUUGUAGCAAAAUCAUUAAUGUGAUAAGAUGCAGAUCAAAAGGAGUGUUCACCACCGUGAAUACAAAUAGUACAAUAUGAAUUAAUAUGAAAAAAUGAAACACUGUGAACAACAGACUUCCAUUAAUGUGUUAGUGAGCAUAUUAAUGACAAAAUUGCUGAAAGAUACAAUGAAAAGUCUCAACUAAGAAAAAAAAUAUGGAACAUUUCUCAGAAUAUAAAUGAAUUCCUAAAUGAAACAAUUUAAAGGUUAAUUUGGUAUUAUUUCCUGGAUAUGUGUGUCAAAUUUAUUCAUUGAUCAAAAGCACUCUUUUACACAAACAAACAGAUAAAUGCCCUUGAUAAUAAACAGCAUUUGAAAUGCUACAUCAGGUGAUAGUGCAGACUACUUUCCUUUGGUCUAGUGAGUCAUUCAGGGAGUAAGACUAUCUUAUCCACACAGACCCAGUGUACUGAAAUUUAUGACAGUCAUUCACAGUUUGGGGGCUGCUAGAUUGCAUAUGUUCUUUCAAAGAGAUCUUAUUAGGUAUUCUGCUGCUGAGGCAUCUGCUGGUCAGGGUAAUCUUGAUGCAGGUCAUGUAGAAGACUUGUGGACAUGAAGAACAGCAUUUUUCCAUUACUAGCUUGAUUCCAAAACCAAUGAACUAUUAGCUAUGGUGGUGCAGGAGACUUUUCACCAGUGUUUUAUUAAGAAGUCCAGGGUCUCUAAAUUUGGCAGUGCCCAUGGGCCAUAGUUAUAUUCUACUAAUGAGAAAAUUAUGAUACUGACAUCAGCUUCCCAAUCCUUUUCCCUAAAGAAAACACAUAGCAUAUUAAUCUGUAUAAUUAAUGUCAUGUUUCUUCAUAUCCUCUCUCUCCAAUUAUCCUCAAAAUAAUUCUGUUUGACUCCAAAUACCUGAAAUCUUUAAAAACUUUAUACCAAUAUCUCUAUGGUAGAUCUCUUUGAGUGUAGUUGUAACUCAUAACAAAAACAUUGUAUUUCUGUUAACGUAUGGAUAAUUACAUCAGAAGUCACAUACAGACCAUCAUGAGAAUAAUGCUCGUUCUUAUUGCUGUAUUUUGAAAUUUAAAGAUCCUUAGCACUGAAUAAGUGACAGAAGUAUGCACAAUAAAUUUAUACUAUUGCUUUUAAACUCAUAUCUGCCUUUUUGAUAGUAGAGAACAGCAGAGAAAAUAAUUAAAUACCUACAAAAAUAUUUUGUUUGUAUGUGGUGUUUUGGAGAGAAAGGUAGGUAAGAUUUAUUUAUAUUAAUAAUGUGUCACCAUUUUAUGUACCAGAAACUGCAUAGUUAAUAACUGCACUUGAGUUACAGUGAAGAUUUUCAAUACUUUCAAAUGAAAUUUUAUAUAAAUUCUGAUUUGUUUUAAUAAAAUUUAAAUGUUUGGUAACAGCUUAUUCUUUUUGUUGGAGAGUUUUAUGUUCCAUAGUUACAUUGACUUAAAUUGGCUGAGAUGUGUGAGUUUUAAUGAUUCACCUAGAAAGUUAUAUAGACCAGUGUUCAGAACAAGAGCAACGGGAAGUAAGUCAGCAAGAGAAACAAGACACGUAAAAGUGACUGCCUGCAAACCAGUAGCUUCGCCCAAGAUCUAUCAACUGCUACUAGGUGCUUAUGAAGUGUACCAGGCUUGGAGCUGAUAAGGACUGGAAAAUGACCUGAAAAUUUUUUAAAUGCAAAGCAGCUCCUAUAAGAGCCACCUGGAAGUGUGGCCCAUAACCAAUGUUGGUGUUUUUUUUAUUAUUAUUAUUUUUUAUUUUUUGUAUAUCAAUAAAUACUUAGAAGAGAACAAAAAGCACUCUAGAGAUGUCUCAAGAAAGAGGAAGGCCUGAUGUCCUUCUCUUUGUAAUAGAAAUACUUUGUUAUGAAGCUCAACUUCAUUCAGAUCUUUGGAGAUAGGGACUUGCAGCCUGGAAUGUUGAGAAUAACACAUUUUCAAUAUGAGCUGAAGGAACUCGAGCUGUUUAGUCUGGGGAAAAGGAGGCUGAGGGGAGACCUUAUUGCUCUCUUCCAAUAUUUGAAACGUGCUUACAGCGAGAGCGAGGUUGGCCUCCUCUCACUCGUGACAGGUGACAGGACAAGGGGAAAUGGCCUCAAGUUGCACCAGGGUGAGUUUAGGUUGGAUAUCAGGAAGCACUUCUUUACAGAAAGGGUUGUUAAGCACUGGAAUAGGCUCCCCAGGGAGGAGGUUGAGUCACCAUUGCUGGAUGUGUUUAAAAACCACUCAGAUGUGGUGUUCAGGGACAUGAUUUAGCAGAGGGUUGUUAGAGUUAGGGUAGGAUGGUUAGUUUGUGGUUGGACUCAGCAAUCUUUAAGGUCUUUUCCAACCUGAGCAAUUCUAUAAUUCUCUAUGAUUCCCAUUGAAAAAUAAUGUUCUCAGUUAAAAACCAGUGUUGAUGAGAAACUGUAAAAUACUUAAGUGGUUUUUUUUUUAAUAAAAUAGGCCAACAGUAUGAACAAGAAACUCUUGACAUAUCUGAAAAAAAAUAAUUGUACAGGAGUGCAACUGGAAUGCUUUCAUUGCAAAGAAAAUAUUGCUCAUAAAAACAAUGAGAAGAGGGUUUUGAGUAAACAGAAUGGUAUGCUUCUGGACAACAUAUGUUUAUAAAUAUUUAAAACUUCAAAUCAAACAGUUUCUGAAGAAAAGAACAAACGAAACCUGGUUUCCUAUGGAUUUGUGCCCUAAUUCUUUUACACAAUUUCUCUUCUAUUCCCAGUACCAGCCUCCCCUGAGCAGGCUGCUAUAUUUGCAAUGGUUAAGCUGUGCUGCAUGUGUGCCCCCUGGCUAACUUUCUUCUUGCUGCUAUGUGGGACUGUCUGUAUCACCUCUGGGGAAGGAAAGAGGAAAGAAAAUUCAAUAUUGAAAUCUGAAAGACAAAUUCUAUUUCCUAUUACAACCAGUGUUCUGGGAGGAGGUUCA
This 21846-nucleotide long non-coding RNA is filed under the name Gallus gallus (chicken). RNAcentral describes it as "lncRNA (ENSGALG00010006587.1)". Lineage: Eukaryota; Metazoa; Chordata; Aves; Galliformes; Phasianidae. The record is from RNAcentral.